CAAACAUAUAUUCUGCCCCAUGUUUAUUAUUGUGCUGUAUCGGACAUUUUAGAUUGGAAAAUGUGCUACAACAGAUCAGUAAUAGUCACAGAUCUACACACAACAAAUGUAGGUCCACUAGGAAAAUAAUUCCUCCUCACAACUUUAACCGUAUUUGACAUUUCUACUAACAACAUAACUUUAUUUCCUACCCUUUGCCUUAAGAUUACCUUUCUGAAACCAGUAUCAGAUCUCUAAAAUAGCCUGGUACUUCCUCUAAAAUCCUUCACUAGUUCAUAGGCAGUCAGAUCUUUCUAACAUUCCUUUUUUCCCCAUUUUCUAAGGAAAAUCUGAACUGUAGAUUUUUAAAAACAAAAACAAACACUUUUUUUGGCCUGUAACCCACAAUAAGGAAUAUGUUUUACAAGGUAAUCUAACACAUAUACACAUGAACAAAUGUUUACUUAAAAACACAUACCCUUACCAUCUGUGAUGUACGCUUUUAUUUUCUAUUCUUUUCUCUAUUUUAAAUAAAAAAUGCUAGUCAUAAUGCAAUAAAUUAAUGUGGUCCUUUAUGUAAGGCCUUCUAGCCUCAGAAACACACACCUUUUGAAUUAGCGUGCCUGGUACCCAUUUGUGCCCAAUAAAUACUUGCUGAAUGAACUUUUCCAAUAGUGCUGGAUUUGCUCUGAGCCAACCAAAUUCUCACUUUUAAUGUAUUUUGAAAGACAGAGGACGACAAGAUGAAGAAUGCAGUUUGAGACUCAGAAGAGCAAACAUAAUCGGCCCAGUAUGGAUAUGAUCAUUUGAUGCACUGUCCUCGGGCAUGCUCAUUUACAGAAGCCUAAAAACAAAUUUUAUCCCUCAUUUGUGGGUUUCUGGUGUUGUGGAGGGCUUUCCAAUGUUUAGAAGCAAUAUAUUUUUAUAGAAUUCUGUAAUAAACGUGUUUUAAAUCUUUUAUAAAGCUCUCUGUAGCAUAUAAGUACAUAUUAAAGACAGAAAUGGGGGAGCAUCAAGGCCCUUAUAAUCGCAUUCAUUCCUUAACCACAUACUACGCAUCUACUGUGUGGCAUUCUAGGCGGGGGCCGUAACACCAGUGCAGAAAAACACAACCUCUUGUCCUCUUAGAGCUUACAUUGCACUGGGGAAGGAGAGAUAAGAAGAUAAACAAGUAUGGAUAUGUAGACUGUCCAAAGGAUAAAAUGAGAAGGGGGCUAGGGAACUUUCAGUUUAAAAGUAGCCGCGGAAGCACCGAGUGACACGAGCAAAAUCCUGAAGGUGAAGGAGCAAGCCCUGUGGACGACGCUCAGGGAAGAGUCCUACUCGCAAGGAUGCCAGGGCAGGCCCGCCCCCACCCUCAACGGCGCGCGGGGACUUCUGCCGCAGUCAAGGCUUUGGCUCACUCCCCUCAAGACGGGAAGCCAUUCGCAGGGCCUAGAGAAAAGGAGUGACAGGAUCUUGGCCCCCUGAGUGGCCUGAGGCAAAAGGAAUAAUCUAAGCAAGUUUUCCUACUUACUUUUAGCGCACUGGUACACACACAAAUACACAAUACAAUUCAUAUAACACGAAUUUCGUCCCGGUUGAGUAAAAUUCCGCUUACCUACUGCACUUUUUACCGAAAAUAGCCCCUUUUUAAUUUACACAAACUUAAUAGAGAACGGUGGAACAAUGGUUACUUCUUGUUUUACAAUUUAAAAACUACAACAACCAUAGUACUGUACGUAUAAUCACAUAUUGUAUUCCAGCCUUGUCCAGCGCCUCAGUUUUCCGAACCUAAAGAGGAAAACGAUGUUUGAAAUCAGCUGGCCGCAGGCCCGCGGGUCGCCCGCAGUCACCGGUGGCUGAGUCGGGGCCGGCGGUUCUCCCCGCGCGCUCGGCUCCACCCACACCUAGAGGGGGGCGCCCGGGCAGCCGCGGGCGAGCUUCUCGCUCGCGCAGCGUCGCCUACAGGCCUUUAUCCUGACCGUUAGAGAAGAACCCAAACCUCUGCCGACAAAAAGCAAAAGCAGCGGAGACCGCGUAUUUCCAGAAAUAAACGCAUCAUCACAAACACGAUUCCAAUUCAAUCCAGCCGACAGUCGUCUUCACCUCCAAAGGUUGCGUUCUUAUUCGCAGAAAUAACACGCAGUCGGGCGUAAGGUCCCGGCUCUCAAAAGGCAAGGUGUACGAUCCAUCCAUCCACCCGGCUGCAGGGACACCAUUUAAAACGGGCAUCAUCGCCAUCGAAUCGCGGGCGUCCUCUGUGGGGCCGCCCGGAGAUCGGCUCCCUAAAGCUAACGACGACCUGGGACAGCCAGCGCGGCCUCCAGCCGCCGCCGUCGGCGACCUGAGAGCCCGUCCGGGCCUGAGUGCCCCCCACGCUCACGACCACCACCGAACUCGGGCCCCGCUCCUGUCGGCCUCCAGGAAAAUAAAGACAGAGGAGAGCCGGCC
This 2412-nucleotide long non-coding RNA is filed under the name Homo sapiens (human). RNAcentral describes it as "non-protein coding lnc-NIPBL-1:1". The record is from RNAcentral. Lineage: Eukaryota; Metazoa; Chordata; Mammalia; Primates; Hominidae.